Dermacentor andersoni is the source of this 1465-nucleotide long non-coding RNA. RefSeq lists it as uncharacterized. The record is from RefSeq and is a predicted model, not a curated record. NCBI's taxonomy places the organism in Eukaryota, Metazoa, Arthropoda, Arachnida, Ixodida, Ixodidae.
UCCAAGUUUUCUGUUGGCCAUUCUUUCCAUUUUUAUGUUGCGCUAUUGGGGGCAUGAACAUUUCAUUAGAGAAAUUUAUUUUUUCUAAAUAUCGUGUACAAUUUUUAUUGAACCAUUGCUCUUCCAUAAUGAAGGUCAAAUGUUCGUUACAGAGACGUUCCGAAAAAUUGCGCUUUUAUUGUUUUAAUUUGUUUUAUUCGCCACAGCUCAUAAAACGAGGAACCCCAAGUACUUUUUGCAGGAUAUAAGCGAGGCCUGAACCUUCACAAAUUCAUCCCUUCACCUAGCUACGUUUCAGACGCUGCCAUAUACAGUCUCACUGGUGAGAAUAGGCCUUUUCGCUGCUCGAUAUCGAGCCAUGUUUUGUCGCACGCUUUUUCGGCACAUAAGUUGUAUCGCCACUGCACGCCCUAUGUAUACUGGUUUAUUUAUAUAUUAUCUGAAAAGAAAAGAAAAUGUCAUAUCGUGUUUAUGAAUACGCCAUAUAAAAUUUUCAUAGUUAGGUAUAACAUAUUCAAUGUGAAAACCGUUCUAGAUAGUUUGAUCCACAUGUAAAGGUAUGUCAGGACUUGCGAGUUUCCAUUUCAAAUCUUAUCUACAAAAUGGUUCCACUGAAAAGAAUUCUACUCGAAGGCUAAUGAGGCCGUUAUUAUAUUUUUGAAAGAAAAAAGACACUGAGGAAUAAGCCUAUGCUUGCUCGAUUGAGGAACGAGAUUCCUUAGAGUUGGUGAAAUUUCGAAACAAUCAUCUGCAUUGUGAGACACUUAUUAGAGUACACCCUAAGGUGGAAUAGCGGUUUUUUGUUGUCAAUAUAAAUUAAGCGCAGUGAAGAAAUGGAGUCAUUCAAGAAGAAGAGAAAACAUAUCUUAACACGCAAAUAAAGCAGUAAUUAGUCGUAUGGCUGCAAAUACAUAUACUAAUGUAGAUUAUGGUUUUCCAUUUUACAAAAAGCGAGCAUGAAACUGCAUGUAGCAUGCCUGGCUGUGGAACUUUAUUUUCCGCUAAUUAAUCUUAAGAAGCUGCUGAUCACAUGUAUAGGGGCUUGAUCUCCCUCUCCAAAAGAUAUAAGUAUCAAUACAACCAUAUUAGCAGUCUUUUAAUGCAAUCCAAUGUUGCAAAUACGGUAGCCCCGUCAGCGUUUAGCGUAAAAUGCUUAUUAACUGAGAGCCAGUGCAGUUUUCCUGUUGAACUCAUAGGUGGCUCAAUUUAUUUUCCUGCAGCACAAAGACACAUGAACCGUCAGUUUGGAGUGGACCUCAUGUCGGUCGCCGCAAUCGUAAUUGCUUUGAUCGUUAUGGCUCCGAAGGAAGCUCUCGCUAGCCUCGGAGGAGGCGUGGGAGGAACCGGAGGCAUCCAAGGCUUUGGCAAGAAGUGAAUUUUCGUGCGUCCUGAAUCCAGCCAUUGCACCUUUGUCACGGUCUGGAUGACCGGCUCGCCUACAAUAAAAUGCCUGUUGACAUCAUAA